AAUUUAUUUACCCUCAGCCCUCGACUCGACGCUCCCUCUCUCGUUCUCGUUCUGUCUCGACGGGAAAAUGUGAAUCCAAUCCCCCAUCGGCAAGGAAGAGAUCGCACGAUUAGCAACAUCAGGCGAUAGAUACGGGAACCAGGAAUUCAGGCUGUUGAGGAAUUCCAAGAGUAAUGGAAUAGCUAUUGAGCAUCAGAACUAUGGUUGCCAUGGAAGGCCUGGCGGCUGGAUCAUCUUGGACGCACAACAAGGCAAUAUGGAUGCAUCUCGUGACUUCAUUUCUUGCAUAGGACCCUUCAAGAGUUGGAUCCAUCAAAUCCAAGGACGUUCCUUCCCUCCAGAGUUUCCAAGCCUGCAACAAGUCAUUAUAUACAUGUAUUGUCAAUGUGAAGAAGUUGGCAAUAAAAGCUCAUAGUCCUUUGUGGGAGUUUUGGCAAAUUAACAUGCAGACAUAAGUGUUUCAACCUCCCGAAGUUACUCCUCUCUAUUUCCCAUCAAGUACCAGAACAUGCGGCUACCAGGAGUAAUGUUUAUGCAAAUAACUGAGCAUUGGUUUUGCCUAUAUAUGGGGACUUUGUUCUGGGUUAUUUGUAUCUCUCAGAGUGUGAGAUCAGUGAGGCUAGCAACAAUGUAAUCAGAGAGGUUGUACUGAGUUGGGAGAGAAUUACUCCAUUUGUGUCUCGAUUCAUAGUGAGAUUGCUCCGAUUCCUCCGUGGAUGUACCCAAUUUUGGAACCACGUAUUUUCUGCGUUUGUGUGUUUGGUUUAGAUCCUUGGGGCACAACAAUUAAUUACCUUAUUUCUUAAUAUCCCACCACUUUUUCUCCGCU
Molecule: long non-coding RNA, 829 nt
Organism: Rhododendron vialii
Lineage: Eukaryota; Viridiplantae; Streptophyta; Magnoliopsida; Ericales; Ericaceae
Exons: 3
Source: RefSeq, a predicted model, not a curated record